GCGAAUCUCGAAAGACCUGUCUCAGUUCGGAUUGGAGGCUGAAACCCGCCUCCAUGAAGUUGGAUUCGCUAGUAAUCGCGCAUCAGCCAUGGCGCGGUGAAUACGUUCCCGGGCCUUGUACACACCGCCCGUCAAGCCAUGGGAGCCGGGGGUGCCUGAAGCCGGUGAGGUAACCGAGAGGAGCCAGCCGUCGAAGGUGAGACCAAUGACUGGGGUGAAGUCGUAACAAGGUAGC
RNAcentral lists this ribosomal RNA (235 nucleotides) under uncultured bacterium. RNAcentral describes it as "partial 16S ribosomal RNA". It matches the Rfam family "Bacterial small subunit ribosomal RNA", at positions 1267 to 1500 of the family's 1533-position model. The record is from RNAcentral.